This 520-nucleotide ribosomal RNA is filed under the name uncultured Scutellospora. RNAcentral's name for it is "SSU rRNA". It matches the Rfam family "Eukaryotic small subunit ribosomal RNA", at positions 569 to 1094 of the family's 1831-position model. The record is from RNAcentral. Lineage: Eukaryota; Fungi; Glomeromycota; Glomeromycetes; Diversisporales; Gigasporaceae.
AGCAGCCGCGGUAAUUCCAGCUCCAAUAGCGUAUAUUAAAGUUGUUGCAGUUAAAAAGCUCGUAGUUGAAUUUCGGGGUUCUAUCGUUGGUCGGGCUAUUGUCUGUACUGGCGUGUAGAAUUUCUACCUUCUGGGGAACUAUCAUGUUAUUUAUUUAGCGUGGUAGGAAACCAGGACCUUUACCUUGAAAAAAUUAGAGUGUUCAAAGCAGGCUUAUGUCUGAAUACAUUAGCAUGGAAUAAUAAAAUAGGACGGUGGUCCUGUUUUGUUGGUUUCUGAAUCACCGUAAUGAUUAAUAGGGAUAGUUGGGGGCAUUAGUAUUCAAUUGUCAGAGGUGAAAUUCUUGGAUUUAUUGAAGACUAACUACUGCGAAAGCAUUUGCCAAGGAUGUUUUCAUUAAUCAAGAACGAAAGUUAGGGGAUCGAAGACGAUCAGAUACCGUCGUAGUCUUAACCAUAAACUAUGCCGACUAGGGAUCGGACGAUGUUAACUUUUCUUGACUCGUUCGGCGCCUUACGGG